Long non-coding RNA from Gopherus evgoodei (Goodes thornscrub tortoise), 779 nucleotides. RefSeq lists it as uncharacterized. The transcript has 3 exons. The record is from RefSeq and is a predicted model, not a curated record. NCBI's taxonomy places the organism in Eukaryota, Metazoa, Chordata, Testudines, Testudinidae.
CAGGCAUUGGGCCCCAUAGCCUCUGUGGGCCGCACAUGCUGCAUUCCCGCCAUGCUCGGCGCCCUCGGAGGCCAGGCUAGCGCCCGCGCAUUGCUUGUGGACUACACUUCCCGGCAUGCCCCGCUGCCCAUGGAGGCAGAGCGGCCUCCCAGCAUGCACCAGGUGUGCCCGGCCCGGCCGGGGUAUAGGCGCGGCUGCGGGCAGUGCCCCACGUGGGGCCAGUGGCGCAAUGGAUAACGCGUCUGACUACGGAUCAGAAGAUUCCAGGAGGGGAAAGCUGAGCCCCAAGGAUUGAGGUCCCCAGUCGCUGACUGGAGCCCCCCUGAAUAUGGACAUGGGACUAGACCCUCUGGGCUGUUCCUAAAGGGAUUUUUGGCAGCUACAAGCUCCUCUCUGCUGUGUCUGAGCCUCAGGAACUGAAUUCCCGUCUGUCUGUAGAUUGCUUUGUAACCAGCACUCCCUGGCUUUUCUCGUGUAACACAGAGAACCGGCUCUAAGUGUGGGUUUGGGUCAGAGCGAAGUUAGAACUGGACCUGGCUGUGUGGCUGAUCCUUCGGGGCUGGAAGAACCUUCUGUUCUACGACAAGAGAAGAUUUUCAGGAAUCACCAUACUUUAGUUUAGCUGUGUGACUGAGGUGUGGAUGGACGAUGGACUCAACCUCCAGCCCCAGCCUGUCCUGAUGAAAUCGAGUUCAAACCCCCCCGGCUGAAGAUGCAGACAAGAGCCCUAACGAAGUAAGACGUAUCCACCCUAAACAGAAAAGGUGCAAUAGAAGGAA